This 485-nucleotide ribosomal RNA is filed under the name uncultured bacterium. RNAcentral describes it as "partial 16S ribosomal RNA". It matches the Rfam family "Bacterial small subunit ribosomal RNA", at positions 28 to 523 of the family's 1533-position model. The record is from RNAcentral.
GAUGAACGCUGGCGGCGUGCCUAAUACAUGCAAGUCGAGCGGAAAGGCCUCUUCGGAGGUACUCGAGCGGCGGACGGCUGAGUAACACGUAGGAAUGUACCCCAAAGUGAGGGAUAACUGCUCGAAAGAGUAGCUAAUACCGCAUGUGAUCCACGGAUUAAAGCUUCAUGCGCUUUGGGAACAGCCUGCGUAGGAUUAGUUAGUUGGUGAGGUAAUGGCACACCAAGACGAUGAUCAUUAGCUGGUCUGAGAGGAUGGUCAGCCAGACUGGGACUGAGACACGGUCCAGACUCCUACGGGAGGCAGCAGUGGGGAAUAUUGCACAAUGGGCGCAAGCCUGAUGCAGCCAUGCCGCGUGUAUGAAGAAGGCCUUCGGGUUGUAAAGUACUUUCAGCGGGGAGGAAGGCGGUGAAGUUAAUAACUUCACCGAUUGACGUUACCCGCAGAAGAAGCACCGGCUAACUACGUGCCAGCAGCCGCCGUAA